This 774-nucleotide ribosomal RNA is filed under the name uncultured Neocallimastigales. RNAcentral's name for it is "partial large subunit ribosomal RNA". It matches the Rfam family "Eukaryotic large subunit ribosomal RNA", at positions 22 to 640 of the family's 3401-position model. The record is from RNAcentral. Lineage: Eukaryota; Fungi; Neocallimastigomycota; Neocallimastigomycetes; Neocallimastigales.
GUACACGCUGUGACUAGCAUAUCAAUAAGCGGAGGAAAAGAAACUAACAAGGAUUCCCCUAGUAACGGCGAGUGAAGCGGGAAGAGCUCAAAUUUGAAAUCUUAAAGGGUUUCCCUUUACGAAUUGUAGUUUAAAGAAGUGUUUUCUGUUGAGGUUUUGGUAAAAGUUCUUUGGAAUAGGACAUCAUAGAGGGUGAGAAUCCCGUAUUUGACCUUUACUUUCAACUUUGUGAUACACUUUCAAAGAGUCGGAUUGUUUGGGAAUGCAGUCCAAAAUGGGUGGUAAAUUUCAUCUAAAGCUAAAUAUUGGCGAGAGACCGAUAGCGAACAAGUACCGUGAGGGAAAGAUGAAAAGAACUUUGAAAGGAGAGUUAAACAGUACGUGAAAUUGUCAAAAGGGAAGCGUUUGACACCAGUGUUGUUUUUCUGAAAAUCAAUUAAAGAACUGUUUAUGCUAAGUUGUUUAGACUUUAUCAGCUAUCUGCUUAGUUUUGAGCUUUUCUUUAAUGCACUUUUCAGUUAACAAGUCAACAUCAAUUUCUUUUGCUGUAAAAAAGCCUGAGGAAGGUGGCUUGAGAUUCGUCUUAAGUGUUUAUAGCCUCUUGCCUAUGCAGUCGGAGAGAUUGAGGUCUGCAGCGUAGAUCCUUCGGGGCUAAAUGCAUUUGUGCUAAGUUAUAGCAUUUUAUAGACAACUUGUUGACUAUGAUUUGUCUUGUAGCUUACUCGCUUAUGUUAUUUUACCUACGCUUAGGAUGUUGAUAUGCAUGACUGAUAU